UAAAGGUAUAGUCUAUCCCAUUGGUGACAAUG
RNAcentral lists this non-coding RNA (32 nucleotides) under Candidatus Amesbacteria bacterium GW2011_GWB1_47_19. The record is from RNAcentral. Lineage: Bacteria; Candidatus Amesiibacteriota. RNAcentral also lists the same sequence under 1 other name.